RNAcentral lists this small nucleolar RNA (104 nucleotides) under Tupaia belangeri (northern tree shrew). RNAcentral describes it as "Small nucleolar RNA SNORA71 (ENSTBEG00000020833.1)". Lineage: Eukaryota; Metazoa; Chordata; Mammalia; Scandentia; Tupaiidae. The record is from RNAcentral.
UUUUGCCUUUGAGAGUGAUCCUGGGCUGCUCACACCCUGUUUUUUGGUAGUGCAGGGAGAGGACUUGCUGAGUGUUUCCCACGUUAGGGAGGUACCCUCACAUC